Non-coding RNA from Cladobotryum mycophilum, 93 nucleotides. NCBI's taxonomy places the organism in Eukaryota, Fungi, Ascomycota, Sordariomycetes, Hypocreales, Hypocreaceae. The record is from the annotation of a GenBank genome assembly.
UCUCGAAGGACGGAAUCAAACCGCCGACAUUUGGAUUAUCAAGUGUUUAAAGCAAUUGCAGUCCAACGCCAUAGCCAACUAGACGACUUCGAG